Molecule: ribosomal RNA, 429 nt
Filed under: Chloroflexota bacterium
Lineage: Bacteria; Bacillati; Chloroflexota
Also listed under: 1 other name
Description: Chloroflexi bacterium partial 16S ribosomal RNA
Rfam family: Bacterial small subunit ribosomal RNA
Source: RNAcentral
UAGGGAAUCUUCGGCAAUGGACGAAAGUCUGACCGAGCAACGCCGCGUGAGUGAAGAAGGUUUUCGGAUCGUAAAACUCUGUUGUUAGAGAAGAACAAGGACGUUAGUAACUGAACGUCCCCUGACGGUAUCUAACCAGAAAGCCACGGCUAACUACGUGCCAGCAGCCGCGGUAAUACGUAGGUGGCAAGCGUUGUCCGGAUUUAUUGGGCGUAAAGCGAGCGCAGGCGGUUUCUUAAGUCUGCUGUGAAAGCCCCCGGCUCAACCGGGGAGGGUCAUUGGAAACUGGGAGACUUGAGUGCAGAAGAGGAGAGUGGAAUUCCAUGUGUAGCGGUGAAAUGCGUAGAUAUAUGGAGGAACACCAGUGGCGAAGGCGGCUCUCUGGUCUGUAACUGACGCUGAGGCUCGAAAGCGUGGGGAGCAAACAGG